GUGGGGAAUAUUGCACAAUGGGGGGAACCCUGAUGCAGCGACGCCGCGUGAGCGAAGAAGGUUUUCGAAUCGUAAAGCUCUGUCCUAUGAGAAGAUAAUGACGGUAUCAUAGGAGGAAGCCCCGGCUAAAUACGUGCCAGCAGCCGCGGUAAUACGUAUGGGGCGAGCGUUGUCCGGAAUUAUUGGGCGUAAAGGGUACGUAGGCGGUUUUUUAAGUCAGGUGUGAAAGCGUGAGGCUUAACCUCAUUAAGCACUUGAAACUGGAAGACUUGAGUGAAGGAGAGGAAAGUGGAAUUCCUAGUGUAGCGGUGAAAUGCGUAGAUAUUAGGAGGAAUACCGGUGGCGAAGGCGACUUUCUGGACUUUUACUGACGCUCAGGUACGAAAGCGUGGGGAGCAAACAGG
Molecule: ribosomal RNA, 404 nt
Filed under: uncultured Parvimonas sp.
Lineage: Bacteria; Bacillati; Bacillota; Tissierellia; Tissierellales; Peptoniphilaceae
Description: bacterial SSU rRNA
Rfam family: Bacterial small subunit ribosomal RNA
Source: RNAcentral